AGAGUUUGAUCAUGGCUCAGAAUCAACGCUGGCGGCGUGCCUCAGACAUGCAAGUCGAACGCGAAAGUCUCCUUCGGGAGAUGAGUAGAGUGGCGCACGGGUGAGUAACACGUAGGUAAUCUACCUUCGGGUGGGGAAUAACCCAGGGAAACUUGGGCUAACACCGCAUAAUGCAGCGGCACCACAUGGUGACAGUUGUUAAAGCGGGGGAUUUUCGGACCUCGCGCCUGAAGAGGAGCCUGCGGCAGAUUAGCUUGUUGGUAAGGUAACGGCUUACCAAGGCGACGAUCUGUAGCCGGCCUGAGAGGGCGGUCGGCCACACUGACACUGACAUACGGGUCAGACUCCUACGGGAGGCAGCAGUCGGGAAUUUUGGGCAAUGGGCGAAAGCCUGACCCAGCAACGCCGCGUGAAGGAUGAAAUCCUUCGGGAUGUAAACUUCGCAAGAAUAGGAAGAAUUAGUAGGGGUUAAUACCCCCUAUGAUGACGGUACUAUUUGUAAGCUCCGGCUAACUCCGUGCCAGCAGCCGCGGUAAUACGGGGGGAGCAAGCGUUGUUCGGAUUUACUGGGCGUAAAGGGCGCGUAGGCGGUCAGCACAAGUCAGUUGUGAAAUCUCCGGGCUUAACUCGGAAAGGUCAACUGAUACUGUGCGACUAGAGUGCGGAAGGGGCAACUGGAAUUCUCGGUGUAGCGGUGAAAUGCGUAGAUAUCGAGAGGAACACCUGCGGCGAAGGCGGGUUGCUGGGCCGACACUGACGCUGAUGCGCGAAAGCCAGGGGAGCGAACGGGAUUAGAUACCCCAGUAGUCC
This 810-nucleotide ribosomal RNA is filed under the name uncultured bacterium. Its description in RNAcentral is "bacterial SSU rRNA". It matches the Rfam family "Bacterial small subunit ribosomal RNA", at positions 8 to 796 of the family's 1533-position model. The record is from RNAcentral.